CGAGAGAAGGACACAGGGAAACUUACCGCAAAAUUUUCCCUGUUUAUAGCUUUCUUGGGGAAGAAAACACAUGAACAAAUCCUCGUGAUAGGAAUAUUUUAAGCAUAUAUCUUCAAUAUUACUCAUCCAGGACCGAAGUAAGUCCUGAUGCAGGAAAUGAGUGAGUUUCACAGCUUUCUGAGCCCCUACUCGACCCAGGAAGCCCAGCUGGCACCUCCUCUCAGUAUGCUAUUGAAAAGUGAAUUUGUGAUAAAGGAAGCAUGGGUGACAAGGUUUAUAAGGAGGAAAUAAAUGUCAGCAACUCAAUAGUCAAAAAGGCAACAAUCACAAUGCUAGAUGACCAAAGCAAUAACUUUCUGAAGACAACAGAUUUCUGUGAUGUCUGGCUUAAUAGAAGACAUCUGGAAUCUUCUAUUUGUUUCUGUAUCUAAUCUUUUGUGAAUUAAUAUAUCAUGUAGUCUCCAGAAAACUCAACUGUACAGUCAUGAGGGAAUUAAAGUAAAAAAAGCUGAAUAGUAUCUUUAUUAUGA
RNAcentral lists this long non-coding RNA (530 nucleotides) under Homo sapiens (human). RNAcentral describes it as "HSALNT0335880". Lineage: Eukaryota; Metazoa; Chordata; Mammalia; Primates; Hominidae. The record is from RNAcentral.